Molecule: transfer RNA, 1372 nt
Filed under: Phasianus colchicus (ring-necked pheasant)
Lineage: Eukaryota; Metazoa; Chordata; Aves; Galliformes; Phasianidae
Description: lncRNA (ENSPCLG00000016693.1)
Rfam family: tRNA (bases 670-741)
Source: RNAcentral
AGAUGUCACCCCAUGGAGGAUGUCAGUCACCAUCUCGAUGUCACCUGGAGGCAGAUGUCACCCUGCGAUGGAUGUCACCCCAUGGACGAUGUCACCCCAUGGUGGAUGUCACCCCAUUGGAUGUCACCCCAUUGGAUGUCACCCCAUUCGAUGUCACCCCAUUGGACGUCACCCCACGGCUCAAUGGAUGUCACCCGAUUGGAUGUCACCCCAUUGGAUGUCACCCUAAUGGGUGUCACCCCAAUGAAUGUCACCCAUUCGGAUGUCACCCCAAUGGGUGUCACCCCAUUGGAUGUCACCUGCUGUGACCUCAGGGCACGCGUGGCCUUUGCUUUGUACCCGCCUGGGAUUAAUUACCCUUUGGAAAAGUGAUUAAAAAUGCUAAUUUACAUCUCUGCGAACCCCGAGUGGCGUUUUGGGGUCCCCAAACCCCAUUCCUAGACAGAACCGCCGAGUGGAUCCAUAACGCGCAUGCUGAUUGGCUACUUGCAGAGCACGCCUUCGCUCUCGGCCAAUCCCUGCGCGCCUUUCAGAACCGCGGGGGCGGGCCUACCCGUCUGGCCCCGCCCCUCUCGGGGGCGUGUAGCCAAUCAGGGCGGCCGUAGCAUUUUGACGUCUCAGCUCCGCCAAUGGCGUUGUGAGAAACAUAACGAGCAAGGCUUCCGUCCCUCCCUGGUGGUCUAGUGGUUAGGAUUCGGCGCUCUCACCGCCGCGGCCCGGGUUCGAUUCCCGGUCAGGGAAGAUUUGUUUUCUCUCUUUUCUCCCCAUUUUGACCCAUUUCUUCCUAUUUUUUUUUAUCCUUUGGGCCAUUUUCUUCCUCCUUUUUACCCUUUCCUCCUCUUUUUCUCCCUCUUUUCUCCCCAUUUUGACCCUUCCCCAUUUCCCCCUUUGUUUCCUCCUUUUCAGUUUUCCUCCUCCUUUCCAUUUCCCCCCCUUUUUCCUCCUCCUUUUGCAUUUUUUUCCUUUUUUUCUCCUAUUUUUUUCAGUUUUCCUCCUAUUUUUCCCCUUUUUCCCUCCUCAUUUCGCUCUUUUCCUCCUUUUUCUGUAUUCUUUUCCCCCUUUUCCUCCUAUUUUGCCCCAUUUCCCCCAUUUUUUCCUCCCCCUUUUUCCUCCCUGCCCUUCCCCAUUUUGCCCAUUUCUCCAUGUUUCCUCCUCAUUUUCACUUCAUUUCUUCUCUCUUUGAAACUUUUUCCUCUCUUAUCCCCCUUUUCACUCCUCCUCCCCCUCUUCCUCUUUUCCUUUUGACAUUUCUCUCCCAUUUCUCCCCUUCAUUUUGAUUUCCUCCCCCCUUUUUCCUCUCUCCUUUUUCCUCUCCUUUUUCCUCCCCCUUUUCCUUUUUAUUUUUUCCCUCUUUUUCCUCCUCCUUUUUCCU